Stylophora pistillata is the source of this 1577-nucleotide long non-coding RNA. RefSeq lists it as uncharacterized. NCBI's taxonomy places the organism in Eukaryota, Metazoa, Cnidaria, Anthozoa, Scleractinia, Pocilloporidae. The record is from RefSeq and is a predicted model, not a curated record.
UUAUGUUAGCGGUGGUGAAAUUGGUUGUAUGAAGUGGUGUCCUCCGCCCUCUACCAAAAGCUAACAGUUAGUCUACCGAGCGUUCGUUUACGUAACUGCGAGCAAAAUGUUUGCGUUUUCCCACCAAUUUACGACUGAGCAAUUUAACGGACACAGGCGCCGUCUGGCCAAUGUGAAUUUGACAUAAUAAAGCAAUUCUGAGUACAAAAUGAAGUCCUGUAGUCUCAUGCUGAAAUGGUUUGCCGUAAAGGACAGCUGUAGACUCAGACUGAAUAUGACGGCAUCUGAUGAUCAAGUGCAAAAAUCCAAGCUGAUGGAGUGGAGCGAGGAACAUGAUGUACUUUUUCUGAGAGAAAUGCCAGCAAGAAGUGUUUUUGGAGCAAAGAAAGAAGUCCCGCUCGUGGACUGACCAUUUAGUAUUAUGUUAACUGUUUUUAACAUUAAAUGAACGUGAGGUGAUUAUAACUUAAAAGGAGCCAGAAUUUGCGGCUCGAGAGCCUUUUUAGCAUCACAAGAAAAUGAAAUACGACGAUGAAAUAAUCGUUCAUCAUUUAUUAUUCAUUGAUUUAUUAAUUCAUCACACUCCAAAGGAACGGGGAUGGUUGAACAUAUCGAGGGGUUAAGAAAGAUUGCAAACGACUCACUUGUUAGCUUAAAACAUUGAUGGAAUGCUAUGUUUUCAAGUUGCACAAACUACGACCUUGCUCCGAAAUGGUUCAGUUUGCUCCGACGGAAGUACAUUGCAUAUGGCAGUCGUUGUCUGACGAAGUAAUUCUCUCGCUUGUCAUCCAGACGGAGUUAUGGAUAUUUUUGAUAUCCAAUCAACUCUGCUCAGCUGUUCACUCCACAAGGAGUAUUUCAUCUCUUCUUUUGGAUGCUACUAGUAAAGAUCGACCCUCUAACUCCCUCUGACUCUUGGAAGUGUUUAGCAUUAGAAUUCACCUCACAACAUAACUGAAUCAAGCCAAUUUAUCAUUGAGAACUGAAGUUGGUGUCCAUCGUUCCCUUGCGAAUUCUACUUUUAAAAAAAUGUUGAAAAAAUAACAACAAACAAAUACAUGGACAAACAUACAAACGAGAUCCAUCUUCUAUCACUUGGAGAAGCCAACUUUUCUUUUCUUUUUCUGUGAUCAGUGGUGGUAUAUUUCUCUUUUUAUAAUUUACACUUCGGUUUAAGAGGAAAAAAUGAGGUUGGACCAAAAGAAACGACCACGAAGGGACUCGAACCCCCAAUCUUCCGAUCCGAAGUCGGACGCCUUAUCCAUUAGGCCACGCGGCCAACCAUAAAACUUACGGUUAGUUGUAAAUAGUUGACCAAAGUUUCAUCCAAAAACUAUAAAUCAUCCAAGUUUGUUAUCGUUUUAGGCCAAAAUAUUUAGGUAGUACAAGUUAAAUUGUUUCUAAUUUUUGCGGGGAAAAGCAGGUGUCAACUCUUAUAGACCUCCAAUGUCUGAAAUUUCUUUCCAUGAUCAAUCUUCAGGAUGAAGAACUCAUCGCGGUGUAAUAGUGAGAUGGUAUUGAAUUAGAUAUUUUAUUUCAACUAAAAAAUACCAACAGGACAAUGCAACAAGUCUUCA